AGUGUCUUGGAUGCUCAGGCAUAACGAGGCAGCGGCUUCGACGUGCACUGGAUAUAAGGGUGGGGAGACUGUUGUCAUGGCUGCAGCAGAGCAAGACGGGCCGGGCCGUGAGCUGCCUCACGGUUGGGACUCUAGCACAUAGUCAGCAUGUGGGUGCAUGGCUCACGGACGGUAUGCACCGAGUGUGCAAAGCCAGGUGCACUGCUCUGACGAGUGACAGAGCACACGUGCGUGCCUACUAAACAGACCACAGGGAAGCCAGGACCUGGCACUUAGACCCAAUUGCAGGUCUCCGUCAGCCCCCACAGCUCUUCUUCUUUGCUAAGUGUGCCCUGUCCUGCCCCGCCUUUGAAGGCAGCCUGCAGAGAAGCUGAAUCCUCAUCCACAGAGCCCCAUCGAGGAGAGGAUGUGUAAGUGGGGAGACCUUACCCUGACGGUCUGUAAGAACACCCACAUCAGUAGCGAAGGGAAAAACAGGAAGCCAGAGCCAGGGCAGGGACAGCGGUGCCCGGCACUCAGCACGCGCCCUGUGACAGCAGCCUGUGGCCCACCUGUGACAGCAGCCCUGGAUUCUGGCAGAGCGUCUACGAAGUGACCUGGGUAUCGACUCU
RNAcentral lists this long non-coding RNA (611 nucleotides) under Mus musculus (house mouse). RNAcentral's name for it is "predicted gene, 47252". Lineage: Eukaryota; Metazoa; Chordata; Mammalia; Rodentia; Muridae. The record is from RNAcentral.